AGAGUUUGAUCCUGGCUCAGGAUGAACGCUGGCGGCGUGCUUAACACAUGCAAGUCGAACGGGGAUUACACGGUGAUGCGAUUUCGGUCAAAUCAAGUGCAAUCUUAGUGGCGGACGGGUGAGUAACACGUGGAUAACCUGCCUUAUACUGGGGGAUAACAGCCAGAAAUGGCUGCUAAUACCGCAUAAGCGCACGGCGCCGCAUGGCGCAGUGUGAAAAACUCCGGUGGUAUAAGAUGGAUCCGCGCCUGAUUAGCUAGUUGGCGGGGCAGCGGCCCACCAAGGCGACGAUCAGUAGCCGGCCUGAGAGGGCGACCGGCCACAUUGGGACUGAGACACGGCCCAAACUCCUACGGGAGGCAGCAGUGGGGAAUAUUGCACAAUGGGGGGAACCCUGAUGCAGCGACGCCGCGUGAGUGAAGAAGUAUUUCGGUAUGUAAAGCUCUAUCAGCAGGGAAGAAGAUGACGGUACCUGACCAAGAAGCCCCGGCUAACUACGUGCCAGCAGCCGCGGUAAUACGUAGGGGGCAAGCGUUAUCCGGAAUUACUGGGUGUAAAGGGAGCGUAGACGGCUGUGCAAGUCUGGAGUGAAAGGCGGGGGCCCAACCCCCGGACUGCUCUGGAAACUGUAUGGCUGGAGUGCAGGAGAGGUAAGCGGAAUUCCUAGUGUAGCGGUGAAAUGCGUAGAUAUUAGGAGGAACACCAGUGGGGAAGGCGGCUUUACUGGACUGUAACUGACGUUGAGGCUCGAAAGCGUGGGGAGCAAACAAGAUUAGAUACCCUGGUAGUCCACGCCGUAAACGAUGAAUAAAAGGUGUCGGAAGGGUAUGGGACCCUUCCGGUGCCCCCAACAAACCCAAUUAAGUAAACCCACCUGGGGAAUUACGUUCCCCAAAAAUGAAAACUCAAAGGAAUUGACGGGGACCCGCACAAGCGGUGGAGCAUGUGGUUUAAUCUGAAGCAACGCGAAGAACCUUACCAAGUCUUGACAUCUGGAUGACAGGGACGUAACGGUCCCCUUACUUCGGUACAUCCAAGACAGGUGGUGCAUGGUUGUCGUCAGCUCGUGUCGUGAGAUGUUGGGUUAAGUCCCGCAACGAGCGCAACCCUUAUCCUUAGUAGCUAGCGGGCAGGGCCGGGCACUCUAGGGAGACUGCCGGGGAUAACCCGGAGGAAGGUGGGGAUGACGUCAAAUCAUCAUGCCCCUUAUGAUUUGGGCUACACACGUGCUACAAUGGCGUAAACAGAGGGAAGCGAACCCGCGAGAGGGAGCAAAUCCCAAAAAUAACGUCCCAGUUCGGAUUGUAGCCUGCAACCCGGCUACAUGAAGCUGGAAUCGCUAGUAAUCGCGGAUCAGAAUGCCGCGGUGAAUACGUUCCCGGGUCUUGCACUCACCGCCCGUCA
Molecule: ribosomal RNA, 1404 nt
Filed under: uncultured bacterium
Lineage: Bacteria
Description: bacterial SSU rRNA
Rfam family: Bacterial small subunit ribosomal RNA
Source: RNAcentral